This 425-nucleotide ribosomal RNA is filed under the name uncultured bacterium. RNAcentral's name for it is "bacterial SSU rRNA". It matches the Rfam family "Bacterial small subunit ribosomal RNA", at positions 356 to 773 of the family's 1533-position model. The record is from RNAcentral.
GGGGAAUAUUGGACAAUGGGCGCAAGCCUGAUCCAGCCAUGCCGCGUGUGUGAAGAAGGCCUUCGGGUUGUAAAGCACUUUCAGUGGGGAGGAAGGGGUUGUAGUUAAUAGCUGCAAUUUUUGACGUUACCCACAGAAGAAGCACCGGCUAACUCCGUGCCAGCAGCCGCGGUAAUACGGAGGGUGCAAGCGUUAAUCGGAAUUACUGGGCGUAAAGCGCACGCAGGCGGCUUUUUAAGUCGGAUGUGAAAGCCCCGGGCUCAACCUGGGAAUUGCAUCUGAUACUGGGAAGCUAGAGUAUGUGAGAGGGGGGUAGAAUUCCAAGUGUAGCGGUGAAAUGCGUAGAGAUUUGGAGGAAUACCAGUGGCGAAGGCGGCCCCCUGGCACAAUACUGACGCUCAGGUGCGAAAGCGUGGGGAGCAAAC